AUUGAACGCUGGCGGCAGGCCUAACACAUGCAAGUCGAACGGUAACAGGAAACAGCUUGCUGUUUCGCUGACGAGUGGCGGACGGGUGAGUAAUGUCUGGGAAACUGCCUGAUGGAGGGGGAUAACUACUGGAAACGGUAGCUAAUACCGCAUAACGUCGCAAGCCCAAAGAGGGGGACCUUCGGGCCUCUUGCCAUCGGAUGUGCCCAGAUGGGAUUAGCUAGUAGGUGGGGUAACGGCCCACCUAGGCGACGAUCCCUAGCUGGUCUGAGAGGAUGACCAGCCACACUGGAACUGAGACACGGUCCAGACUCCUACGGGAGGCAGCAGUGGGGAAUAUUGCACAAUGGGCGCAAGCCUGAUGCAGCCAUGCCGCGUGUAUGAAGAAGGCCUUCGGGUUGUAAAGUACUUUCAGCGGGGAGGAAGGGAGUAAAGUUAAUACCUUUACUCAUUGACGUUACCCGCAGAAGAAGCACCGGCUAACUCCGUG
Molecule: ribosomal RNA, 490 nt
Filed under: uncultured bacterium
Lineage: Bacteria
Description: partial 16S ribosomal RNA
Rfam family: Bacterial small subunit ribosomal RNA
Source: RNAcentral